RNAcentral lists this ribosomal RNA (396 nucleotides) under uncultured bacterium. RNAcentral describes it as "partial 16S ribosomal RNA". It matches the Rfam family "Bacterial small subunit ribosomal RNA", at positions 523 to 918 of the family's 1533-position model. The record is from RNAcentral.
AUACGUAGGGAGCGAGCGUUGUCCGGAAUUACUGGGUGUAAAGGGAGCGUAGGCGGGAGUGCAAGUCAGAUGUGAAAUGCAUGGGCUUAACCCAUGAGCUGCAUUUGAAACUGCAUUUCUUGAGUGAAGUAGAGGUAAGCGGAAUUCCUGGUGUAGCGGUGAAAUGCGUAGAUAUCAGGAGGAACACCGGUGGCGAAGGCGGCUUACUGGGCUUUUACUGACGCUGAGGCUCGAAAGCGUGGGGAGCAAACAGGAUUAGAUACCCUGGUAGUCCACGCUGUAAACGAUGAUUACUAGGUGUGGGGGGACUGACCCCUUCCGUGCCGCAGUUAACACAAUAAGUAUUCCACCUGGGGAGUACGAUCGCAAGAUUGAAACUCAAAUGAAUUGGCAGGG